Molecule: long non-coding RNA, 212 nt
Filed under: Elaeis guineensis (African oil palm)
Lineage: Eukaryota; Viridiplantae; Streptophyta; Magnoliopsida; Arecales; Arecaceae
Description: long non-coding RNA (EGUI_LNC052537)
Source: RNAcentral
AUGGGAUUAUUCUAGUUGGAGAGCAUAGUCUGGUGUUAAGUUUGUUGAAAAAUAUAUCCUAAAGCCAAUCUUUUAGAUGAUUGUGCUCAUUUUAUAAUAUGUAUGUGAAUUAUUAAUUAAUAAAUAAAAAUUAUUUUAACAUCUUUCAUCAUAAAGUUACAUCUUUCUUGCUAGAACUCUUGUGUUGUGAUGAAGUCCUUAGAACUAUGAAG